CAGUGCCUACGGGAGGCAGCAGUGGGGAAUAUUGCACAAUGGGGGAAACCCUGAUGCAGCGACGCCGCGUGAAGGAAGAAGUAUUUCGGUAUGUAAACUUCUAUCAGCAGGGAAGAAAGUGACGGUACCUGACUAAGAAGCCCCGGCUAACUACGUGCCAGCAGCCGCGGUACUACGUAGGGGGCAAGCGUUUUCCGGAUUUACUGGGUGUAAAGGGAGCGUAGGCGGCGAUGCAAGUCAGAAGUGAAAACCCGGGGCUCAACUCCGGGACUGCUUUUGAAACUGUAUGGCUAGAUUACAGGAGA
RNAcentral lists this ribosomal RNA (305 nucleotides) under uncultured bacterium. Its description in RNAcentral is "bacterial SSU rRNA". It matches the Rfam family "Bacterial small subunit ribosomal RNA", at positions 333 to 655 of the family's 1533-position model. The record is from RNAcentral.